This is a long non-coding RNA of Halichondria panicea, 615 nucleotides long. RefSeq lists it as uncharacterized. Lineage: Eukaryota; Metazoa; Porifera; Demospongiae; Suberitida; Halichondriidae. The record is from RefSeq and is a predicted model, not a curated record. The transcript is spliced from 3 exons.
UCGCACCAGGCAGAAAGCUGAGUUUUCGCUUUUAUAACGGUUAGGCGAACAACUUGAGCAGACAGUAUAUAUCGCUUGGCCAGAUGAUGUCUGAGCAAGUCACGGACACUAGUUGUUGCAUGCAGUCUGUAGUAGUUCACGGAAGCUACCUGAGUGUAGAGAGAGCUCCUCCAUGUCCUCUGCAUCAAGAGAGCAACACUCCACAGUGCAGGCAACUAGUGGGCUGCUGCAGCAUCAGAGUUGCUCCAUGCUGUCAGGAACAACAAGCAUCUUUCUCCUCUCCAGGUGCACAGGCUGCAUCCCAAGGCGAUGUUGCUCUGGACUCUACCCCUCACAACUACACACUCAGAAGGAUAGUGACAGGCCUCAUAGUCAGAGUGGACCUCUUGAGAUUCUGUACACACUAGCAGAGAGCAACCCAACGCCCACCAACUCUAGCACAUGCAGGCACAUGUUUCCGACAUGGAACAAGAAUUGUUGCACUUCACUGCACAUACCAUGUUUUUUUUAUGUCGAACUCAUUUUUUUGAUAAUUAUUUUGUACGUUGUCAUUGUUACAGAAGUGGACUGUUUACCAUUAUAAUGCUGUCAACAUAAUUUUUUUUUGUCGAACUU